Molecule: ribosomal RNA, 463 nt
Filed under: uncultured bacterium
Lineage: Bacteria
Description: partial 16S ribosomal RNA
Rfam family: Bacterial small subunit ribosomal RNA
Source: RNAcentral
CUACGGGACGCACCAGUGGGGAAUAUUGCACAAUGGGCGCAAGCCUGAUGCAGCCAUGCCGCGUGUAUGAAGAAGGCCUUCGGGUUGUAAAGUACUUUCAGCGGGGAGGAAGGGAGUAAAGUUAAUACCUUUGCUCAUUGACGUUACCCGCAGAAGAAGCACCGGCUAAGUCGUGCCAGCAGCCGCGGUAAUACGGAGGGUGCAAGCGUUAAUCGGAAUUACUGGGCGUAAAGCGCACGCAGGCGGUUUGUUAAGUCAGAUGUGAAAUCCCCGGGCUCAACCUGGGAACUGCAUCUGAUACUGGCAAGCUUGAGUCUCGUAGAGGGGGGUAGAAUUCCAGGUGUAGCGGUGAAAUGCGUAGAGAUCUGGAGGAAUACCGGUGGCGAAGGCGGCCCCCUGGACGAAGACUGACGCUCAGGUGCGAAAGCGUGGGGAGCAAACAGGAUUAGAUACCCUCGUAGUC